Molecule: ribosomal RNA, 1475 nt
Filed under: Salmonella enterica subsp. enterica serovar Typhi
Lineage: Bacteria; Pseudomonadati; Pseudomonadota; Gammaproteobacteria; Enterobacterales; Enterobacteriaceae
Description: bacterial SSU rRNA
Rfam family: Bacterial small subunit ribosomal RNA
Source: RNAcentral
GGCUCAGAUUGAACGCUGGCGGCAGGCCUAACACAUGCAAGUCGAACGGUAACAGGAAGCAGCUUGCUGCUUUGCUGACGAGUGGCGGACGGGUGAGUAAUGUCUGGGAAACUGCCUGAUGGAGGGGGAUAACUACUGGAAACGGUGGCUAAUACCGCAUAACGUCGCAAGACCAAAGAGGGGGACCUUCGGGCCUCUUGCCAUCAGAUGUGCCCAGAUGGGAUUAGCUUGUUGGUGAGGUAACGGCUCACCAAGGCGACGAUCCCUAGCUGGUCUGAGAGGAUGACCAGCCACACUGGAACUGAGACACGGUCCAGACUCCUACGGGAGGCAGCAGUGGGGAAUAUUGCACAAUGGGCGCAAGCCUGAUGCAGCCAUGCCGCGUGUAUGAAGAAGGCCUUCGGGUUGUAAAGUACUUUCAGCGGGGAGGAAGGUGUUGUGGUUAAUAACCGCAGCAAUUGACGUUACCCGCAGAAGAAGCACCGGCUAACUCCGUGCCAGCAGCCGCGGUAAUACGGAGGGUGCAAGCGUUAAUCGGAAUUACUGGGCGUAAAGCGCACGCAGGCGGUCUGUCAAGUCGGAUGUGAAAUCCCCGGGCUCAACCUGGGAACUGCAUUCGAAACUGGCAGGCUUGAGUCUUGUAGAGGGGGGUAGAAUUCCAGGUGUAGCGGUGAAAUGCGUAGAGAUCUGGAGGAAUACCGGUGGCGAAGGCGGCCCCCUGGACAAAGACUGACGCUCAGGUGCGAAAGCGUGGGGAGCAAACAGGAUUAGAUACCCUGGUAGUCCACGCCGUAAACGAUGUCUACUUGGAGGUUGUGCCCUUGAGGCGUGGCUUCCGGAGCUAACGCGUUAAGUAGACCGCCUGGGGAGUACGGCCGCAAGGUUAAAACUCAAAUGAAUUGACGGGGGCCCGCACAAGCGGUGGAGCAUGUGGUUUAAUUCGAUGCAACGCGAAGAACCUUACCUGGUCUUGACAUCCACAGAACUUUCCAGAGAUGGAUUGGUGCCUUCGGGAACUGUGAGACAGGUGCUGCAUGGCUGUCGUCAGCUCGUGUUGUGAAAUGUUGGGUUAAGUCCCGCAACGAGCGCAACCCUUAUCCUUUGUUGCCAGCGGUCCGGCCGGGAACUCAAAGGAGACUGCCAGUGAUAAACUGGAGGAAGGUGGGGAUGACGUCAAGUCAUCAUGGCCCUUACGACCAGGGCUACACACGUGCUACAAUGGCGCAUACAAAGAGAAGCGACCUCGCGAGAGCAAGCGGACCUCAUAAAGUGCGUCGUAGUCCGGAUUGGAGUCUGCAACUCGACUCCAUGAAGUCGGAAUCGCUAGUAAUCGUGGAUCAGAAUGCCACGGUGAAUACGUUCCCGGGCCUUGUACACACCGCCCGUCACACCAUGGGGAGUGGGUUGCAAAAGAAGUAGGUAGCUUAACCUUCGGGAGGGCGCUUACCACUUUGUGAUUCAUUGACUGGGUGAUC